This 565-nucleotide ribosomal RNA is filed under the name uncultured archaeon. RNAcentral describes it as "bacterial SSU rRNA". It matches the Rfam family "Archaeal small subunit ribosomal RNA", at positions 25 to 598 of the family's 1478-position model. The record is from RNAcentral.
CACUGCUAUCGGGGUUCGAUUAAGCCAUGCGAGUCGAGAGGGUUCAGACCCUCGGCGCACUGCUCAGUAACACGUGGAUAACCUACCCUGAGGAGGGGGAUAACCCCGGGAAACUGGGGAUAAUACCUCAUAGGUUUCAGAUGCUGGAAUGCUCUGAAACCGAAAUGCUCCGGCGCCUCAGGAUGGAUCUGCGGCCGAUUAGGUUGUUGUUGGGGUAACGGCCCAACAAGCCCGUCAUCGGUACGGGUUGUGAGAGCAAGAGCCCGGAGAUGGAUUCUGAGACACCAAUCCAGGCCCUACGGGGCGCAGCAGGCGCGAAACCUUUACAAUGCGAGCAAUCGUGAUAAGGGAACCCCGAGUGCCUGAAACCAGGCUGUUCAGGUGUUUAAAAAGCACCUGGAGAAAGGGCCGGGCAAGACCGGUGCCAGCCGCCGCGGUAAUACCGGCGGCUCGAGUGGUGGCCGCUAUUAUUGGGCUUAAAGCGUUCGUAGCUGGGUUGUUAAGUCUCUUGGGAAAUCUCACGGCUCAACCGUGAGGCGACUAAGAGAUACUGGCAAUCUUGGGA